UACAUGCAAGUCGAACGGUAACAGGAAGCAGCUUGCUGCUUCGCUGACGAGUGGCGGACGGGUGAGUAAUGUCUGGGAAACUGCCUGAUGGAGGGGGAUAACUACUGGAAACGGUAGCUAAUACCGCAUAACGUCGCAAGACCAAAGAGGGGGACCUUCGGGCCUCUUGCCAUCGGAUGUGCCCAGAUGGGAUUAGCUAGUAGGUGGGGUAACGGCUCACCUAGGCGACGAUCCCUAGCUGGUCUGAGAGGAUGACCAGCCACACUGGAACUGAGACACGGUCCAGACUCCUACGGGAGGCAGCAGUGGGGAAUAUUGCACAAUGGGCGCAAGCCUGAUGCAGCCAUGCCGCGUGUAUGAAGAAGGCCUUCGGGUUGUAAAGUACUUUCAGCGGGGAGGAAGGCGAUAAGGUUAAUAACCUUGUCGAUGACGUACCCGCAGAAGAAGCAC
RNAcentral lists this ribosomal RNA (450 nucleotides) under Enterobacter sp. 3-6-1-9. Its description in RNAcentral is "bacterial SSU rRNA". It matches the Rfam family "Bacterial small subunit ribosomal RNA", at positions 52 to 493 of the family's 1533-position model. The record is from RNAcentral. Lineage: Bacteria; Pseudomonadati; Pseudomonadota; Gammaproteobacteria; Enterobacterales; Enterobacteriaceae.